This 253-nucleotide ribosomal RNA is filed under the name uncultured bacterium. RNAcentral's name for it is "partial 16S ribosomal RNA". It matches the Rfam family "Bacterial small subunit ribosomal RNA", at positions 524 to 776 of the family's 1533-position model. The record is from RNAcentral.
UACGUAGGGAGCAAGCGUUGUCCGGAAUUACUGGGCGUAAAGAGUGUGUAGGCGGUGUUCUAAGUCUGUUGUGAAAUCUCCCGGCUUAACUGGGAGGGUGCGGCGGAAACUGGAAUGCUAGAGGAUGGGAGAGGUAAGCGGAAUUCCUGGUGUAGCGGUGAAAUGCGUAGAGAUCCGGAGGAACACCAGUGGCGAAGGCGACACGCUGGGCCGUACCUGACACUGAUGCGCGACAGCAUGGGGAGCAAACAGG